GGGUUGUGAGGUUAAGCGACUAAGCGUACACGGUGGAUGCCCUGGCAGUCAGAGGCGAUGAAGGGCGUGCUAAUCUGCGAUAAGCGCCGGUAAGGUGAUAUGAACCGUUAUAACCGGCGAUACCCGAAUGGGGAAACCCAGUGUGAUUCGUCACACUAUCAUUAACUGAAUCCAUAGGUUAAUGAGGCGAACCGGGGGAACUGAAACAUCUAAGUACCCCGAGGAAAAGAAAUCAACCGAGAUUCCCCCAGUAGCGGCGAGCGAACGGGGAGGAGCCCAGAGCCUGAAUCAGCAUGUGUGUUAGUGGAAGCGUCUGGAAAGGCGCGCGAUACAGGGUGACAGCCCCGUACACAAAAGCGCAUGUGCUGUGAGCUCGAUGAGUAGGGCGGGACACGUGGUAUCCUGUCUGAAUAUGGGGGGACCAUCCUCCAAGGCUAAAUACUCCUGACUGACCGAUAGUGAACCAGUACCGUGAGGGAAAGGCGAAAAGAACCCCGGCGAGGGGAGUGAAAAAGAACCUGAAACCGUGUACGUACAAGCAGUGGGAGCACCCUUUUGGGUGUGACUGCGUACCUUUUGUAUAAUGGGUCAGCGACUUAUAUUCUGUAGCAAGGUUAACCGAAUAGGGGAGCCGUAGGGAAACCGAGUCUUAAC
RNAcentral lists this ribosomal RNA (654 nucleotides) under Salmonella enterica. RNAcentral describes it as "partial 23S ribosomal RNA". It matches the Rfam family "Bacterial large subunit ribosomal RNA", at positions 1 to 688 of the family's 2925-position model. Lineage: Bacteria; Pseudomonadati; Pseudomonadota; Gammaproteobacteria; Enterobacterales; Enterobacteriaceae. The record is from RNAcentral.